GCGGGGGUUGCCAAGCCAGGUCAAAGGCGCAGGGCUUAGGACCCUGUCCCGUAGGGGUUCGUGGGUUCAAAUCCCACCCCCCGCA
This 85-nucleotide transfer RNA is filed under the name Candidatus Bathyarchaeota archaeon. RNAcentral describes it as "tRNA-Leu". It matches the Rfam family "tRNA". From Rfam's summary of the family: Transfer RNA (tRNA) molecules are approximately 80 nucleotides in length. Their secondary structure includes four short double-helical elements and three loops (D, anti-codon, and T loops). The record is from RNAcentral. Lineage: Archaea; Thermoproteati; Candidatus Bathyarchaeota. RNAcentral also lists the same sequence under 1 other name.